AGCCGAAACCGAGCCGCAACAGGCGGUUCGGUCUGCCGGGGACGGUCUCCCGGUACUGAUGAUGGCAGACCAAG
Molecule: non-coding RNA, 74 nt
Filed under: Ruminococcus bicirculans (ex Wegman et al. 2014)
Lineage: Bacteria; Bacillati; Bacillota; Clostridia; Eubacteriales; Oscillospiraceae
Source: RNAcentral